Chelonoidis abingdonii (Abingdon island giant tortoise) is the source of this 154-nucleotide unclassified non-coding RNA. Lineage: Eukaryota; Metazoa; Chordata; Testudines; Testudinidae. The record is from Ensembl.
AUGAAAGUCCUGUAAAUAGAAGACUGACUUAUCCACAGAACAGGUACUAUAUUAGCAGCACCAGUGCAAGCUUGCCUGAGCCAAACUUGACCUUAAGGGAGGCCCUCUGGAAAAGUCAGUGGAAUUCAGUCUCCAGAACCAUUCAGAGGCCAUU